This 497-nucleotide ribosomal RNA is filed under the name uncultured bacterium. Its description in RNAcentral is "partial 16S ribosomal RNA". It matches the Rfam family "Bacterial small subunit ribosomal RNA", at positions 28 to 507 of the family's 1533-position model. The record is from RNAcentral.
GAUGAACGCUGGCGGCGUGCCUAAUACAUGCAAGUCGAGCGAACGGACGAGAAGCUUGCUUCUCUGAUGUUAGCGGCGGACGGGUGAGUAACACGUGGAUAACCUACCUAUAAGACUGGGAUAACUUCGGGAAACCGGAGCUAAUACCGGAUAAUAUUUUGAACCGCAUGGUUCAAAAGUAAAAGACGGUCUUGCUGUCACUUAUAGAUGGAUCCGCGCUGCAUUAGCUAGGUGGUAAGGUAACGGCUUACCAAGGCAACGGGGCAUAGCCUAGCUGAGAGGGGGGUGUGCCACGCUGGACCUGGGCCACGGUCCAGACUCCUCCGGGAGGGAGCGGUACGGAUGCUUCCGCAAUGGACGAAGGCCUGACGGAGCGACGCCGCGCGGGUUAUGAGGUGCUUGCGAUCGUAAAGUUCUGUUAUUAGGGAAGAACAUCAGGGCAAGUAAUUGUGCACGGCUUGACGGUACCUAAUCAAAAAGCCCCGGCUAACUACGUG